Molecule: ribosomal RNA, 420 nt
Filed under: bacterium
Lineage: Bacteria
Description: partial 16S ribosomal RNA
Rfam family: Bacterial small subunit ribosomal RNA
Source: RNAcentral
UGGGGGAUAUUGCACAAUGGGCGAAAGCCUGAUGCAGCGACGCCGCGUGGGGGAUGAAGGCUUUCGGGUUGUAAACCUCUUUCGCUAUCGAACAAGGCCCGCUUAGGGUGGGUUGAGGGCAGGUGGAGAAGAAGCGCCGGCUAACUACGUGCCAGCAGCCGCGGCAAUACGUAGGGCGCGAGCGUUGUCCGGAAUUAUUGGGCGUAAAGGGCUUGUAGGCGGCCUGUUGCGCCUGCUGUGAAAACGCGGGGCUUAACUUCGCGCGUGCAGUGGGUACUGGCAGGCUUGAGUGUCGUAGGGGUGACUGGAAUUCCAGGUGUAGCGGUGGAAUGCGCAGAUAUCUGGCGGAACACCGAUGGCGAAGGCAGGUCACUGGGCAAUUACUGACGCUGAGGAGCGAAAGCAUGGGUAGCGAACAGG